UUUAGAUCCUGGCUCAGGAUGAACGCUGGCGGCGUGCUUAACACAUGCAAGUCGAACGGUGAAGGUGGAGCUUGCUCUGCUGGAUCAGUGGCGAACGGGUGAGUAACACGUGAGCAAUCUGCCCCUGACUCUGGGAUAACAGUUGGAAACAGCUGCUAAUACCGGAUACGAGCUGCGAAGGCAUCUUCAGCAGUUGGAAAGAAUUUCGGUCAGGGAUGAGCUCGCGGCCUAUCAGCUUGUUGGUGAGGUAACGGCUCACCAAGGCGUCGACGGGUAGCCGGCCUGAGAGGGUGACCGGCCACACUGGGACUGAGACACGGCCCAGACUCCUACGGGAGGCAGCAGUGGGGAAUAUUGCACAAUGGGCGCAAGCCUGAUGCAGCAACGCCGCGUGAGGGACGACGGCCUUCGGGUUGUAAACCUCUUUUAGCAGGGAGGAAGCGAAAGUGACGGUACCUGCAGAAAAAGCACCGGCUAACUACGUG
RNAcentral lists this ribosomal RNA (485 nucleotides) under uncultured Microbacterium sp. Its description in RNAcentral is "bacterial SSU rRNA". It matches the Rfam family "Bacterial small subunit ribosomal RNA", at positions 11 to 507 of the family's 1533-position model. The record is from RNAcentral. Lineage: Bacteria; Bacillati; Actinomycetota; Actinomycetes; Micrococcales; Microbacteriaceae.